Regulatory RNA element from Rhodovulum sp. PH10, 162 nucleotides. It matches the Rfam family "speF leader". Rfam says of the family: This family is a putative regulatory RNA structure that is found upstream of the speF gene encoding ornithine decarboxylase in Agrobacterium tumefaciens and other alpha-proteobacteria. Lineage: Bacteria; Pseudomonadati; Pseudomonadota; Alphaproteobacteria; Rhodobacterales; Paracoccaceae. The record is from Rfam.
UGCCGGCCUUCCACCGCCGGCUCGGGUCACCGAAGAGGCUUGUUCAUCAUUGCCGGGCGUGCGGAAGGGGACUCCCUUUCCAAUCCAAGGCAGCACACGGACGGGUGAAGAACCCUUCGCGGCUGGCGCGUCCCCAUCGCGUGUCGCCUGUGGAGCUUUUCA